This 362-nucleotide long non-coding RNA is filed under the name Manihot esculenta (cassava). Its description in RNAcentral is "long non-coding RNA (MESC_LNC004135)". The record is from RNAcentral. Lineage: Eukaryota; Viridiplantae; Streptophyta; Magnoliopsida; Malpighiales; Euphorbiaceae.
GCAUAAAUGCUAUGAUGUGAUGCUAUGUAUGUGAUGAGGGUUCAUGUGUUUCCACAUGAACCAUAUGAUGCUAAUGAUUGUUUAUGUUAUGUGCUGUUUUUCAGAAGAUAGAAUGAGAGGAACUCGUCGAUCUGCACGAUUGACUGGAGUGCCACCUCAGGACGAGGGCGCUGAUGCCCGUCCUUCAGCUUUGCCUAGAGCAAUGUCCAGUAGGCCCAAUAGAGACAGAGUGGCUAGAGACCCAAGAAGGUCUUUGGAUCUGGGUAGAAGCAGAUCAGUAAGGGGAACAGUGCAGGGAGGAAUGUCUGAGGAUAUGGAGGUAGAUCAGAGAAGGGAUGGCAAUCUUGGUGUGAGUAUGCCGG